UACAGAGGUCCCAAGCGUUGUUCGGAUUCAUUGGGCGUAAAGGGUGCGUAGGUGGCGCCGUAAGUCAGGUGUGAAAUUUCGGAGCUUAACUCCGAAACUGCAUUUGAUACUGCGGUGCUUGAGGACUGGAGAGGAGACUGGAAUUUACGGUGUAGCAGUGAAAUGCGUAGAGAUCGUAAGGAAGACCAGUGGCGAAGGCGGGUCUCUGGACAGUUCCUGACACUGAGGCACGAAGGCCAGGGGAGCAAACGGG
This 253-nucleotide ribosomal RNA is filed under the name uncultured bacterium. Its description in RNAcentral is "partial 16S ribosomal RNA". It matches the Rfam family "Bacterial small subunit ribosomal RNA", at positions 524 to 776 of the family's 1533-position model. The record is from RNAcentral.